AUUGAACGCUGGCGGAAUGCUUUACACAUGCAAGUCGAACGGCAGCACGGGUGCUUGCACCUGGUGGCGAGUGGCGAACGGGUGAGUAAUACAUCGGAACGUACCCAGUCGUGGGGGAUAACGUAGCGAAAGCUACGCUAAUACCGCAUACGUCCUGAGGGAGAAAGCGGGGGACCGUAAGGCUUCGCGCGAUUGGAGCGGCCGAUGGCGGAUUAGCUAGUUGGUGGGGUAAAGGCCUACCAAGGCGACGAUCCGUAGCGGGUCUGCGAGGACGGCCGGCCACAAUAGAACGGGGACACGGUCCAGAAUCCUACGGGAGGCAGCAGUGGGGAAUUUUGGACAAUGGGCGAAAGCCUGAUCCAGCCAUUCCGCGUGAGUGAAGAAGGCCUUCGGGUUGUAAAGCUCUUUCGGCAGGGAAGAAACGGCUUGGGAUAAUACCCCGGGCUAAUGACGGUACCUGAAGAAGAAGCACCGGCUAACUACGUGCCAGCCGCCGCCGUAA
Molecule: ribosomal RNA, 502 nt
Filed under: uncultured bacterium
Lineage: Bacteria
Description: partial 16S ribosomal RNA
Rfam family: Bacterial small subunit ribosomal RNA
Source: RNAcentral